GAUGUUAAGUAGGCACUUGCAGGCAAAGUUUCAUUCACAAUUUGACUGCUUUUUCCUACCUUACAUU
Non-coding RNA from Aedes aegypti (yellow fever mosquito), 67 nucleotides. The record is from Rfam. NCBI's taxonomy places the organism in Eukaryota, Metazoa, Arthropoda, Insecta, Diptera, Culicidae.